This is a long non-coding RNA of Ficedula albicollis (Collared flycatcher), 254 nucleotides long. RefSeq lists it as uncharacterized. The transcript has 3 exons. NCBI's taxonomy places the organism in Eukaryota, Metazoa, Chordata, Aves, Passeriformes, Muscicapidae. The record is from RefSeq and is a predicted model, not a curated record.
AUAAAAAAAUUCCAAAAAAAUUCCCCAAAAAUUCCGGGAUGGACGAGGAGGAGCUCCGGGAUGACCUGCGCCAGUUCCCAGACCGCUCCACUCUGCCGCGCUGUCUCCGCUCCUUCCCGGCCGUGUACCUGAGCCUGGCUCUGACCUCGCUGCUGCUGCUCACCCUCAGCGCCCUGGCGCUCGCCAGAGUUUCCUCCAUUUCCUCCAAACUCCACCAGGAGCCCCUGCAACAGAAUUUUUCCAACUCGGAUUCC